RNAcentral lists this ribosomal RNA (256 nucleotides) under uncultured bacterium. RNAcentral describes it as "partial 16S ribosomal RNA". It matches the Rfam family "Bacterial small subunit ribosomal RNA", at positions 524 to 777 of the family's 1533-position model. The record is from RNAcentral.
UACAGAGGGUGCGAGCGUUGUCCGGAAUCACUGGGCGUAAAGGGCGCGUAGGUGGCCCGACAAGUCUGUGGUGAAAGCUCGACGCUCAACGUCGAGUCGGCCAUAGAUACUGUUGGGGCUGGAGCACUGUAGAGGCUCAUGGAAUUCCGGGUGUAGCGGUGGAAUGCGUAGAGAGUCCGGAAGAACACCGGUGGCGAAGGCGGUUAGCUGGGCAGUUGCUGACACUGAGGCGCGACAGCGUGGGGAGCAAACAGGG